UGGGGAAUUUUGGACAAUGGGCGAAAGCCUGAUCCAGCAAUGCCGCGUGUGUGAAGAAGGCCUUCGGGUUGUAAAGCACUUUUGUCCGGAAAGAAAUGGCUCUGGUUAAUACCUGGGGUCGAUGACGGUACCGGAAGAAUAAGGACCGGCUAACUACGUGCCAGCAGCCGCGGUAAUACGUAGGGUCCAAGCGUUAAUCGGAAUUACUGGGCGUAAAGCGUGCGCAGGCGGUUGUGCAAGACCGAUGUGAAAUCCCCGAGCUUAACUUGGGAAUUGCAUUGGUGACUGCACGGCUAGAGUGUGUCAGAGGGGGGUAGAAUUCCACGUGUAGCAGUGAAAUGCGUAGAGAUGUGGAGGAAUACCGAUGGCGAAGGCAGCCCCCUGGGAUAACACUGACGCUCAUGCACGAAAGCGUGGGGAGCAAACAGGAUUAGAUACCCUGGUAGUCCACGCCCUAAACGAUGUCAACUAGUUGUUGGGGAUUCAUUUCCUUAGUAACGUAGCUAACGCGUGAAGUUGACCGCCUGGGGAGUACGGUCGC
This 541-nucleotide ribosomal RNA is filed under the name uncultured bacterium. Its description in RNAcentral is "partial 16S ribosomal RNA". It matches the Rfam family "Bacterial small subunit ribosomal RNA", at positions 355 to 889 of the family's 1533-position model. The record is from RNAcentral.